RNAcentral lists this ribosomal RNA (429 nucleotides) under bacterium. Its description in RNAcentral is "partial 16S ribosomal RNA". It matches the Rfam family "Bacterial small subunit ribosomal RNA", at positions 355 to 776 of the family's 1533-position model. The record is from RNAcentral.
UAGGGAAUCUUCGUCAAUGGGGGCAACCCUGACCGAGCAACGCCGCGUGAGUGAAGAAGGUUUUCGGAUCGUAAAGCUCUGUUGUAAGAGAAGAACGUGUGUGAGAGUGGAAAGUUCACACAGUGACGGUAACUUACCAGAAAGGGACGGCUAACUACGUGCCAGCAGCCGCGGUAAUACGUAGGUCCCGAGCGUUGUCCGGAUUUAUUGGGCGUAAAGCGAGCGCAGGCGGUUUAAUAAGUCUGAAGUUAAAGGCAGUGGCUUAACCAUUGUUCGCUUUGGAAACUGUUAGACUUGAGUGCAGAAGGGGAGAGUGGAAUUCCAUGUGUAGCGGUGAAAUGCGUAGAUAUAUGGAGGAACACCGGUGGCGAAAGCGGCUCUCUGGUCUGUAACUGACGCUGAGGCUCGAGAGCGUGGGGAGCAAACAGG